RNAcentral lists this ribosomal RNA (698 nucleotides) under uncultured marine archaeon. RNAcentral describes it as "bacterial SSU rRNA". It matches the Rfam family "Archaeal small subunit ribosomal RNA", at positions 102 to 802 of the family's 1478-position model. The record is from RNAcentral.
GGGUAACCUGCCCUAUGCUGGAUAAUAACCUCGGGAAACUGAGUAUAAUGAUCCAUAGUUCACUACGCCUGGAACGGUGAGUGGAUGAAAGCUCCGGCGGCAUAGGAUGGGCCUGCGGCGUAUCAGGUUGUAGGGGGUGUAACGUACCCUCUAGCCCUCUACGCGUACGGGUGUUGGGAGACAUAGCCCGGAGAUGGAUUCUGAGACACGAAUCCAGACCCUACGGGGUGCAGCAGGCGCGAAAACUUGGCAAUGCGAGAAAUCGUGACCAGGGAACUCCAAGUGCAUCGGGUAAGACCGGUGCUUUUCUUGACUCUAAAUAGGUCUUGGAAUAAGGGGUGGGUAAGGACGGUGCCAGCCGCCGCGGUAAUACCGGCGCCUCAAGUGGUAGUCGCUUUUAUUGGGCCUAAAACGUCCGUAGCCGGUCUGAUACAUUCGUGGGUAAAUCAACCAGCUCAACUGGUUGAAUUCUGCGAGGACGGUCAGACUUGGGACCGGGAGAGGUGUGGGGUACGCUCAGGGUAGGGGUAAAAUCCUGUCAUCCUGAGCGGACCACCUGUUGCGAAGGCGCCACACUAGAACGGAUCCGACGGUCAGGGACGAAGCCUAGGGGCACGAACCGGAUUAGAUACCCGGGUAGUCCUAGGUGUAAACGCUGUGGACUUGAUGUUGGGGGUGCUCCGAGCACUCUCAGUGUC